ACUUAAAUUGAAGAGUUUGAUCAUGGCUCAGAUUGAACGCUGGCGGCAGGCCUAACACAUGCAAGUCGAGCGGUAGCACAGAGAGCUUGCUCUCGGGUGACGAGCGGCGGACGGGUGAGUAAUGUCUGG
This 129-nucleotide ribosomal RNA is filed under the name Klebsiella pneumoniae. RNAcentral describes it as "partial 16S ribosomal RNA". It matches the Rfam family "Bacterial small subunit ribosomal RNA", at positions 1 to 120 of the family's 1533-position model. The record is from RNAcentral. Lineage: Bacteria; Pseudomonadati; Pseudomonadota; Gammaproteobacteria; Enterobacterales; Enterobacteriaceae.